CGGAGGGGCGUAGCGUUGUUCGGAAUUACUGGGCGUAAAGACGCACGUAGGCGGAUUGGAAAGUUAGGGGUGGAAAUACCCACGGGCUCAACCCUCGGAACUGCCUUCAAAACUACCCAGUCUGGAGGUCGAGAGAGGUGAGUGGAAUUCCGAGUGUAGAGGUGAAAUUCGUAGAUAUUCGGAGGAACACCAGUGGCGAAGGCGGCUCACUGGCUCGAUACUGACGCUGAGGUGCGAAAGCGUGGGGAGCAAACAGGAUU
This 260-nucleotide ribosomal RNA is filed under the name uncultured bacterium. RNAcentral's name for it is "partial 16S ribosomal RNA". It matches the Rfam family "Bacterial small subunit ribosomal RNA", at positions 526 to 779 of the family's 1533-position model. The record is from RNAcentral.